UAUCCUGACCGCGUAAAGGUAGCAUAAUCACUUGUUCCUUAAUUAGGGACUAGAAUGAAUGGCUGAACGAGGGUUUAACUGUCUCUUAUUUCAAUCAGUGAAAUUGACCUUCCAGUGAAGAGGCUGGAAUAAUUAAAUAAGACGAGAAGACCCUAUGGAGCUUAAAUUUAUAAACUUAUUAUAAAUCUAAAACCCUAAUGGGAUAAAACAAAAAUUAUUAGCUUAAAAUUUUGGUUGGGGUGACCUCGGAGAACAGAAAAUCCUCCGAAAGAUUUAUAACCUAGACCUACAAGUCAAAGUAAUACAUUACUAAUUGACCCAAAGAUAUUUGAUCAACGGACCAAGUUACCCUAGGGAUAACAGCGCUAUCCUAUUUAAGAGUUCAUAUCGACAAUAGGGUUUACGACCUCGAUGUUGGAUCAGGACAUCCCAAUGGUGCAGAAGCUAUUAAUGGUUCGUUUG
Molecule: ribosomal RNA, 462 nt
Filed under: Stenocephalemys albipes (White-footed Stenocephalemys)
Lineage: Eukaryota; Metazoa; Chordata; Mammalia; Rodentia; Muridae
Description: partial 16S ribosomal RNA
Rfam family: Bacterial large subunit ribosomal RNA
Source: RNAcentral